RNAcentral lists this ribosomal RNA (764 nucleotides) under uncultured Gammaproteobacteria bacterium. RNAcentral's name for it is "bacterial SSU rRNA". It matches the Rfam family "Bacterial small subunit ribosomal RNA", at positions 8 to 754 of the family's 1533-position model. The record is from RNAcentral. Lineage: Bacteria; Pseudomonadati; Pseudomonadota; Gammaproteobacteria.
AGAGUUUGAUCCUGGCUCAGAACGAACGCUGGCGGCGCGCCUAAUACAUGCAAGUCGAACGAGAAUGUGUAGCAAUACACAUGUACUGUGGCGAACGGGUGAGGAUUACAUGGGUAACCUACCCUCGAGUGGGGAAUAACUAGCCGAAAGGUUAGCUAAUACCGCGUACGCUUCCCGGACUGCGGUUCGGGAAGGAAAGCGAUACCGUGGGUAUCGCGCUCUUGGAUGGGCCCAUGCCCUAUCAGCUUGUUGGUGAGGUAACGGCUCACCAAGGCUUCGACGGGUAGCUGAUCUGAGAGGAUGAUCAGCCACACUGGAACUGAGACACGGUCCAGACUCCUACGGGAGGCAGCAGUGGGGAAUAUUGGACAAUGGGCGCAAGCCUGAUCCAGCCAUACCGCGUGGGUGAAGAAGGCCUUCGGGUUGUAAAGCCCUUUUGUUGGGAAAGAAAUCCUGUCGGUUAAUACCCGGCGGGGAUGACGGUACCCAAAGAAUAAGCACCGGCUAACUUCGUGCCAGCAGCCGCGGUAAUACGAAGGGUGCAAGCGUUACUCGGAAUUACUGGGCGUAAAGCGUGCGUAGGUGGUUGUUUAAGUCUGUCGUGAAAGCCCUGGGCUCAACCUGGGAAUUGCGAUGGAUACUGGACGACUAGAGUGUGGUAGAGGGAUGUGGAAUUUCCGGUGUAGCAGUGAAAUGCGUAGAGAUCGGAAGGAACAUCUGUGGCGAAAGGCGACAUCCUGGGGCCAACACUGACACUGAGGCAC